Molecule: ribosomal RNA, 565 nt
Filed under: uncultured bacterium
Lineage: Bacteria
Description: bacterial SSU rRNA
Rfam family: Bacterial small subunit ribosomal RNA
Source: RNAcentral
UCGCCCUUAGAGUUUGAUCCUGGCUCAAGAUGAACGCUAGCGGCAGGCUUAACACAUGCAAGUCGAGGGGUAACAGGGAGUGCUUGCACUCCGCUGACGACCGGCGCACGGGUGCGUAACGCGUAUGCAACCUACCUUUUACAGGGGGAUAGUCAAGAGAAAUUUUGAAUAAUACCCCAUACGAUUUUAAUUACACCUGUACUAAAGAGGAAAACUUCGGUGGUAAAAGAUGGGCAUGCGUCCUAUUAGUUAGAUGGUGAGGUAACGGCUCACCAUGACUACGAUAGGUAGGGGUCCUGAGAGGGAGAUCCCCCACACUGGUACUGAGACACGGACCAGACUCUUACGGGAGGCAGCAGUGAGGAAUAUUGGACAAUGGAGGCAACUCUGAUCCAGCCAUGCCGCGUGCAGGAAGACUGCCCUAUGGGUUGUAAACUGCUUUUAUACAGGAAGAAACACUCCCUCGUGAGGGAGCUUGACGGUACUGUACGAAUAAGGAUCGGCUAACUCCGUGCCAGCAGCCGCGGUAAUACGGAGGAUCCAAGCGUUAUCCGGAAUCAUUGGG